This 253-nucleotide ribosomal RNA is filed under the name uncultured bacterium. RNAcentral describes it as "partial 16S ribosomal RNA". It matches the Rfam family "Bacterial small subunit ribosomal RNA", at positions 524 to 776 of the family's 1533-position model. The record is from RNAcentral.
UACGUAGGGGGCAAGCGUUGUCCGGAAUCAUUGGGCGUAAAGCGCGUGUAGGCGGCCAGAUAAGUCCGCUGUGAAAUCUCGAGGCUCAACUUCGAGCUGUCGGUGGAAACUGUCUGGCUAGAGUGCGGAAGGGGCAACUGGAAUUCUUGGUGUAGCGGUGAAAUGCGUAGAUAUCAAGAGGAACACCUGCGGCGAAGGCGGGUUGCUGGGCCGACACUGACGCUGAGGCGCGAAAGCCAGGGGAGCGAACGGG